AGAGUUGAUCCUGGCUCAGGAUGAACGCUGGCGGCGUGCCUAAUACAUGCAAGUCGAACGAGGUAGCAAUACCGAGUGGCGAACGGGUGAGUAACACGUAGGUAACCUGCCCUUAAGCUUGGGAUACCCAGAGGAAACUUGGCUAAUACCGGAUAACAACAGAGAAGGCAUCUUCUUGCUUGAAAGGCCCCUUCAAGGGUCACUUAAGGAUGGACCUGCGGCGCAUUAGCUAGUUGGUGAGAUAACAGCCCACCAAGGCGAGGAUGCGUAGCCGAACUGAGAGGUUGAUCGGCCACAUUGGAACUGAGACACGGUCCAAACUCCUACGGGAGGCAGCAGUAAGGAGUUUUCGGCAAUGGGGGAAACCCUGACCGAGCAACGCCGCGUGAGCGAUGACGGCCCUAUUGGGUUGUAAAGCUCUGUUGUAAGCCAUGAAUGAUAGCUUUAGGAAAUGAAAGCUAUUUGACGACAGCUUACCAGAAAGCCACGGCUAACUACGUGCCAGCAGCUGC
RNAcentral lists this ribosomal RNA (512 nucleotides) under uncultured bacterium. RNAcentral describes it as "bacterial SSU rRNA". It matches the Rfam family "Bacterial small subunit ribosomal RNA", at positions 8 to 518 of the family's 1533-position model. The record is from RNAcentral.